RNAcentral lists this long non-coding RNA (5990 nucleotides) under Sus scrofa (pig). RNAcentral's name for it is "lncRNA (ENSSSCG00065028580.1)". The record is from RNAcentral. Lineage: Eukaryota; Metazoa; Chordata; Mammalia; Artiodactyla; Suidae.
AAAGUAAUAUCAUGAGUCUCAUAAGAUGGGAGAUGGCAUAGAUGAAGGAUGAGGUAAAAGCUAGGAUCAGAAAAAAGAAGAAGGGAAGGAGCUAUGGAAAAAAAACAAAAACAAAACAAAAACAACUUUGGUCUAAAGAAAGUACAUAAACGAAGCCAAUUUGACAAAAAUAUCCACCAAUUAGCAACAUGGUGUUCAUGGCUUUUUACCAUAUUUGAAGAGUCAAAACAACAACACGAUAACAAUUCUGAUAAUUAGAGGGGAAAAAAAGGACUUUGCACUAAUUUUUCCUUACUGGCACACUCUCCUUUCAUAUACUGGCUAGAUGUCAAAAAUGAGGCUUUGAUGAACUCUGAAGGAAGAUCCAUAUGUUGGAGGAGUAGUAUCCCCAAGGGUAAAUAUUUACCUUCCAGAUAAAUACAAAAAUCCUAGGAUGGCCUAAAAUUGCAAAGAAACCGUAUCCCCUCUGCACUGUGCCAGAAGGGGCAUUGUGUCUAUCCAGGGACAGAAGGAGAAGAGACUUCAGAGUUUCCAACUUGACUUUCUAUCCCUUACGAAGAUGAAAACAUGAGCAAACCAUAGGGUUCUGAUAGAAACAUCACCCUGAGCUCUUCUCCACAAAGCAAAUAAGCCUCUCAGUGUGCAUUAAGUAAACAAUUUGUGUGAUUUCCCUGAAGGCAAGUAGUGUUAUAGGGUGAGAAAAGGUAUCAUGUGGCAAUACGAUUAUUUCAUUAACUUACGCUGCAAGAACAUUUAUUGCCCCACCUGAGCAUGUCAACCGUCUCCCAUUGUUGGGUUUUGCUGAGAGAAUGAUGUCAGUGGCAGGGAAUGUGGAAAUGGGAAAGUUGUCUUGCAGUUGCCAUCCAUUAAAUAUAGAGGCAAUAGCUCACCAGACUUUCUUCGAGAUCUCCAUCUAUUCUCUCUCAGUGAUGACUCUUGUCUCAUCCUAUUUAUGAUGAAUAAAUUGCUUACUUGUAUAUUUAGCUAAUAUCCACUUUCCAUAGGAGCUCUACAGUAAGCUCCAUGAGUUUGAGGACUGUAUCACAUCUUGUUGGCUGUUGCUUAUUCUCACUACUGAGCAUAGUAUUUGACACAUAAACUUAUAAAUUGUUGAAUGAACAAAAAACUAAGUUCAGAGUAGAAAGCAAAACUGAGGAGGAGCAUGACAGAUGAUAAAAACAAUUUUAGACUUUAGGUCUAACAUUGUGUUAGGAUAACUUUAUAAUGACUUUUAAAACAUGAAAGAAAGAUAACAUGAUACAAUGGGAAAGAAUAAUGUCUAUCCUCAUGGAUUAUUUAAUUCUGUUCUCAGGGUUUAAGAAAGAAAGAAAAAUAUAUAGAAUUCUGACUGUUCCCCUGCCCCAAUCUGCUAAUUGAGUGGAGGAUUACAGUGAGGUCCAUAGGAAAUAAGAGGAUGAGUUUAAUAAUGAAGACUAUUUCAGUGCUUUAUUUCCAUGCCAAGCAGUGGCCUUAAAUCAAGCAACAUCAUCUUAAAGAGAUGAAUAUUCUUGCUCGCUGGAUUGAAGAUAGAAUAGAGAUGGAGGCAUUCAAUGUGUGUAAUGGAUCAAGAGGGUUAUUUAACAUUUUUUGACACUAUAAUUGUGUUUUCUUUUCAUAGUUACUAAACUACUGGUAAUACGCCCACCUUUACCACCUGCACUGAGAGCCCACCAUCACCAUAAUAUUAGAGGUCAUUCAGAGAAUAAAUAGCAAAUGAAGCUUCAAACCCAGAUUGGUCUGACUCCAAAGCUCAUCCUCUUUCCUGUUCACCUUUUUAUUUAUUUUUUAUUUUGUCUUUUUAGGGCAGCACCCAUGGCAUAUGGAGGUUCCCAGGCUAGGGGUCCAAGAGGAGCUAAGCUGCUGACCUACACCACAGCCACAGCAACUUGGGAUCCGAGCCCCAUCUGUGACCUACACAACAUCUCAUGGCAACGCUGGAUCCUUAACUCACUGAGCAAGGCCAGGGAUUGAACCCAAGUCCUCAUGGAUACUAGCUGUUUCCCGCUGAGGCACUAGGGGAACUCCCCUGCUCAGCCUUUUACAAAGCACAAUCUUCAUGGGCAGGUAAGGAAUGGGACAGCUACAUUCCAGGUGACACCACUGCUCCUAGGUAAGCCCAGGAUUGUUAAUCAGAUAAUUCCGAGGUUUUAGUGGUCUCAGUUCAAGGCUAAAUGGCAGAACGUCUGAGUUCAGUUCCUGCUGACCUUGCCCUGAUCCCUUGUCUUUAUCUUUUAAAGACACCAGAGAAUGAGUGUGAAUCGUUAAUGAAUGUAGAUCAUGAGGGAAAGGAGGCUAGAGGAUUAGCUCAAGAAAGAACUAAAGAUUUACUAUGAAAGGGCAUUUUACCAUUGUGCUUGAUUUUAGAUCAAAACUUGGAAAGACAGUGGAAAAGACAAAUAAUUAUUUAAGGUGGCCAUAUAUGGUCAAAAUCUCUUUAUGUAGGAUUAGGAAGACAGGACACUCAAGCACUCAUCAGGCACAUUUAUUUGCUAUUUCAGUUCCAUUAAUUUUUUUCGCCUACUCUAUUGCUCCUGAUUUUGUUGUAUACUACUUUGCAAAAAUUCUUUUUCAAUUGAAACAAUGUAACUAAAUUUAUUCUGUGGUUCUUUAUCAGUAAUGAUUCAAUCUUUGGCAGAGACUAAGGGGUGAGGGAGCUAGAAAUCUGAAUGAUAUAGAUAGAAGGGAGGUGACUUUUUAGAAAGUGAUUAAUACCACAAACUGAGAAGGAAAAAAAGAACUAAGCCAGACUGACAACAUUGGAUGCAUCAUUUGGCCACAGGAGUAUAAAUACUUUAUAAUGUUAAUCUUUUAGUCCAGCAUUUCCCUUCACCUUUACUUAAGAAUGAGAGUGGUUAGGGUGUGGGCUUUAUUUUUGUUAUCAUAGUUUUAUUAGGUUGUCUACUUUAAGUGAAGUGGAAGUGUCCACUUCAUUGUGUGUGAUAUUAGUGCCUCUGAGGAAUGUACCCCACAUCAGCCACAUCAGCCGUCACUUUUAAUAUAGAUGUAGCUACACAAAGUAACAGAAUACUUGGCUAAAUAUUUUCAACUGGUAUUUUCACACCUCCUUCCAACUAUAAAACACUAGAUAUAGUCUUUCUAUCUGUUUCUUCAUGCAGGGGUGUCCCAGAGUAGUUUUGUGGCAUUCCAAUCAUUGAUGUAAUAUGAUAAUUGACUUAUCUCCGUCUGCUGCAACAGGAAAGGUUGGCUGAGUGAGGAGGCAUAGUAUAGUCAAUAAAACAAAACAAGAGGCAUAAAGACAUACUAAGGAGACUUGAAAGGUAGAUCUUUUCAUAAAUAAACAUGUUUACAUUCCAGUAUAUUUUAUUAAUCUAGUCUGCCUUUAGUUUCAACCAGGAGUUGGCAAAGUGUGGCCCUCCUGGCCACACCCACCUAUUUGCAUAUUGCCUGCUGAGGCUUUCUCACAACAAGGAGAGUUGAGAGUAGUUAAGACACAAUAGAUGGUGGCAAAUGGAAGUUCCCAGGCUAGGGGUCAAAUCAGAGCUACAGCUGCUGGCCUGCACCACAGCCACAGCAACCAGAUCUGAGCUGCAUCUAUGAUCCACACCGCAGCUCACCGCUGCAUCCUUAACCCACUGAGUGAGGCCAGGCAAUCAAACCCGAAUCCUCAUGGAUACCAGUUAGGUUCAUUACUGGUAUCAUUAAUACUGCUGAGCCACAAUGGGAACUCUGACUCCAGGUUUAAGUGAACAUCUUAUCCAGUUUUUAAUUGGAUAUACAUUCAUGAAAUAUAGCAAGUCCUUAAAUUCAAACUGUUUGAGAAAAAAAAUUGUUUCCAAUUUAUAAUAGCACAUCAUUUAACAAAAUGACAUGACUCCAUAAUUUCCAAAAUAAAAGUUUCCAUAUGGCAGCUGGAACAUUCUAAGGCUGUAAGUACUGAAUAUAUCAGUUUAUUUCUUUGGAAACAAAUGGGAAAAAAAUAUUUUAGCACACAUAGUUACCGUUUUUCAGGGGCUUCCAGAAUCUUAACACUCCAAAUAGAGUACCAAUAUUGGUAUCAUCCAUAUGGCAUCAGAGUGAAGGCAGGGAACAGAGUCAAGAGCCUUUAGUUCAGUUUAUUUUGCCCAGAAAAGACUAAAAGUGUCAUAUCGAUUAUGGAUCUGCAAGAGUAAUCAACACCUAUUGGCUCACUGAGGAGUAAAAUAUGAUCACAGACCAGUUAAACUAUCUGCUGUCUUGGCAAUGGAAUUUAUUGUUAGUGCUUUUGCUGAAGUCACUUAUCUGAAGGAGUGAUUGAUCACAUUUCUGAUUGUUGUAGAGGCAAAAGAAUUGACCUUAUUCACUCAUAGAAUGGCAGGUACUAAUUCCCCGGGAAAGAAUUCACUUUCCAAAUUUAGUACAUUGUGUUAAGACAGUUUUCAAAUCAAGGUAGUAUUUUGAAAAAAAAAAAAAAUGGUCCUAAUAUCCAAGGCCAAGUUUUCCUAUUUCAUGCUUUUGAAAGAAAGGUGAAGAGAAAAUAUCGAUUGUUAAAGAAAAGAAAAAAUAUAGAGGAUUGUUUCUGGAAAAAUAAAUAAAUAAAUAAACCACUUUGGGUUCCAACUCCCUAACCAUCUGUCAUUUGGGAAUUUUACCCAUCAGCAGUCUGUUCUAUCUGUAGCUCCACUCAUGUGAACCUGAGAUAUCUACAGGAAAACUGCUUAUGGAAUAUAAGGGAAAUCACAAGAUUUCAAAUGUGGAUAUAUGCAUCAGAGCUUUAAAAAGGUGGCUUCACUUGUUUUGAGCUUUUAUCAAUAUUGAAUAUGCUUAACUACCAAACUUAAUUCACUAAGAAGAAUUACAUUCCAAAUUGAUGGCUGAACUUCAGGUUCCUUGUCUGUCCCAUAGUCACCACCCACCACUAAUACCAUGGUGACUGUACUUACUUUAACCUUGUUUUGAGGAGUAAAAUGACAGUUUAAGAACCUUGUUUCAGGCUUGCCUGCUCCUCUCAGAAUAAAGUAUUUACUGUUCCAGGAGCAUAUUGUGAGGAUUAUAGCUUAAAUAUAUUUAUUCCCCGACUGUUUGAUUAACAGGUGGAUCUGGUUGCUAUUGCUGCUUAAUUUAGUAGCUUACAAUAAUCAUUUUAUUAUGCUCACAGAUUCUGUGGGUUAGGACUGGGAACAGCAAGAUUGCUGGUCUCUGCUCCACAGUGUCCCUGAUUUUUGGCUGAGAUUUGAGGGCUAGGGUGAUUUGAUGACUGGGAGCUGGAAUCAUUUGGAGGUCCCUCUACUCCUAUGGCUGGAGCCUGUAUUAGGAAGACUUGGAGACUAGAACUGCCAACUGGACAUCCUAUAGGUGGCUUCUUUAUGUGGCUGCUCCAAGGGAUUGUCUUGGAGCGAAGCAUGGUAGCCUUCGGACAAUGUAUUUCUUACACGGUAGCUGAAGGCUCCAAGCAAGACUAUUGCAGCAAACAAAGUGGUAGCUGCAUCAUCUCUUAUGAUCCAGCCUUGGAAGCUCACAGCCUCACUUCAGCUGUGUUCUAUUGGUCACGGCAGUUCCAAGCCCAUCCAAUUCCAGGAGAGGAGAGUUAGACACUACCUCUUUAUAGGAGAGUGGCAAGGUGACAUUGGAGAUGAGGAUGUGGGAAUGGAAGAGGUUACUGAGACCCCUUUAGGAAACAGUCUGCCACACUGGCCAGAGGAAAAGGUGAGUACAUGAUUGAGAAAAUAUAAGCGUUCAGUGAAAUGUUAACAUUUUAAUGACAUUGUUCAUUAGAAUUGGAUGUCUAAAAGGCAUCUCAAGCCUUCUACAUUCAAAAGAGUGUCCUGUGGAGUUCGUGUCGUGGCGCAAUGGUUAACGAAUCCGACUAGGAACCAGGAGGUUGCGGGUUCGAUCCCUGGCUUUGCUCAGUGGGUCAAAGAUCCUGCGUUGCAGUGAGCUGUGGUGUAGGUUGCAGAUAUGGCUCGGAUCCUGUGUUGCUGUGGCUCUGGUGUAGGCCGGCGGCUACAGCUCCAAUUCAACCCCUAGCCUAGGAACCUCCAUAUGCCGCAGGA